RNAcentral lists this ribosomal RNA (450 nucleotides) under uncultured archaeon. RNAcentral describes it as "bacterial SSU rRNA". It matches the Rfam family "Archaeal small subunit ribosomal RNA", at positions 1 to 453 of the family's 1478-position model. The record is from RNAcentral.
UUCCGGUUGAUCCCGCCGGAAGUUACUGCUAUCGAGAUUCGACUAAGCCAUGCGAGUUGAAUGUUCUUCGUGAACAUGGCGGACUGCUUHGUAACACGUGGACAACCUACCCUUGGGUCCGGCAUAAUCCUGGGAAACUGGGAAUAAUUCCGGAUAGGUCACCGAUGCUGGAAUGCGCGGUGGCCGAAAGCUCCGGCGCCCGAGGAUGGGUCUGCGGCCUAUCAGGGUUGUAGUGGGUGUAACGUACCUACUAGCCUACGACGGGUACGGGUUGUGAGAGCAAGAGCCCGGAGAUGGAUUCUGAGACACGAAUCCAGGCCCUACGGGGUGCAGCAGGCGCGAAAACUUUACAAUGCGGGAAACCGUGAUAAGGGGAUCUCGAGUGCCAGCAUAUAAUGUUGGCUGUCCAGAUGCCUAAAUAGCAUCUGUUAGCAAGGGCCGGGCAAGAAG